GGUCCCGUAGCUUAAUUGGAUAGAGCAUCUGACUACGGAUCAGAAGGUUGAGGGUUCGACUCCUUCCGGGACCGCCA
RNAcentral lists this transfer RNA (77 nucleotides) under Pseudomonadota bacterium. Its description in RNAcentral is "tRNA-Arg". It matches the Rfam family "tRNA". From Rfam's summary of the family: Transfer RNA (tRNA) molecules are approximately 80 nucleotides in length. The record is from RNAcentral. RNAcentral also lists the same sequence under 1 other name. Lineage: Bacteria; Pseudomonadati; Pseudomonadota.